Molecule: long non-coding RNA, 219 nt
Filed under: Pan troglodytes (chimpanzee)
Lineage: Eukaryota; Metazoa; Chordata; Mammalia; Primates; Hominidae
Description: long non-coding RNA NONPTRT009557
Source: RNAcentral
GUCGCGGUGACGGAGAGUACAGCGCAGCCAGAGUGUUAGAAAGGUGACGGAGUAGAUGGUGUCUCACUCUGUUGCCUGGGCUGGAGUGCAGUGGUGUGAUCUCGGCUCACUGCAACCUCUUUCAAUGCUUUGGUGCCUGUCUAACAGGAAGUUCUGCCUCUUGUCUGAUCUCAGCCUGACAUGCUGCACUUUUUUGGAUGGGGUCUUACUAUGUUGCCG